RNAcentral lists this ribosomal RNA (237 nucleotides) under uncultured bacterium. Its description in RNAcentral is "partial 16S ribosomal RNA". It matches the Rfam family "Bacterial small subunit ribosomal RNA", at positions 1255 to 1500 of the family's 1533-position model. The record is from RNAcentral.
CAGUGAUGGCAUGCGAAUCUCGAAAGCCUAUCUCAGUUCGGAUUGGAGGCUGAAACCCGCCUCCAUGAAGUUGGAUUCGCUAGUAAUCGCGCAUCAGCCAUGGCGCGGUGAAUACGUUCCCGGGCCUUGUACACACCGCCCGUCAAGCCAUGGGAGCCGGGGGUGCCUGAAGUUCGUUACCGCAAGGAUCGACCUAGGGCAAAACUGGUGACUGGGGCUAAGUCGUAACAAGGUAUC